CCCAGUUAAAUCUGAAUUCUUGAUAAACAAUAUUUUUUAGCAUAAGUAUGUCCCAUGCACGAUUUGGGACAUACGUAUCCUAAAAAUAUAUAUUCUUAAUUUUUCUGAAAUUCCAAUUUAAUGGACACCCUUUAUUUU
This 138-nucleotide microRNA precursor is filed under the name Dasypus novemcinctus (nine-banded armadillo). RNAcentral describes it as "miRNA (ENSDNOG00000028503.1)". The stretch from base 34 to 85 matches the Rfam family "mir-1302 microRNA precursor family". Lineage: Eukaryota; Metazoa; Chordata; Mammalia; Cingulata; Dasypodidae. The record is from RNAcentral.